RNAcentral lists this transfer RNA (71 nucleotides) under Loxodonta africana (African savanna elephant). It matches the Rfam family "tRNA". Rfam says of the family: Transfer RNA (tRNA) molecules are approximately 80 nucleotides in length. Their secondary structure includes four short double-helical elements and three loops (D, anti-codon, and T loops). The record is from Rfam by way of RNAcentral. Lineage: Eukaryota; Metazoa; Chordata; Mammalia; Proboscidea; Elephantidae.
GCAGUGGUAGUUCAGUGGUAGAAUUCUCACCUUCCAUGCGGGAGACCUGGGUUCGAUUCCUGGCCAAUACA